UAAGCGAGUAGUGAAAUCUGGUGGCUCAACCAUCAACACAUUAUUCGAACUGGGCUGCUCGAGAGUGGUAGAGGUAGCUGGAAUUGCUAGUGUAGGAGUGAAAUCCGUAGAUAUUAGCAGGAACACCAAUGGCGUAGGCAGGCUACUGGACCAUUUCUGACACUAAGGCACGAAAGCGUGGGAGCGAACCGGAUUAGAUACCCGGGUAGUCCACGCCGUAAACUAUGGAUGCUA
This 234-nucleotide ribosomal RNA is filed under the name uncultured Candidatus Saccharibacteria bacterium. RNAcentral's name for it is "partial 16S ribosomal RNA". It matches the Rfam family "Bacterial small subunit ribosomal RNA", at positions 584 to 818 of the family's 1533-position model. The record is from RNAcentral. Lineage: Bacteria; Candidatus Saccharimonadota.